Molecule: long non-coding RNA, 1468 nt
Filed under: Carassius auratus (goldfish)
Lineage: Eukaryota; Metazoa; Chordata; Actinopteri; Cypriniformes; Cyprinidae
Description: lncRNA (ENSCARG00000051211.1)
Source: RNAcentral
GUGUCCAACUAAUGCAGAAUAUAUUCAAGCUGCCAACACACUGGUUUUGAAGAACCCUUUCCAUUGAAAUAUAGAAAGAAAUGACUGUGAAGGUUGUGUUGGGGAGGAUUCAAUGUCUGUUGAGGCACAUGAGAAUGUGAUACAAAGUGAGUAUCAGAAACACAUCCAGACACAUGGACUGUCAAAGACCACACGACAGGAACAUUCUCCUGGAGAUGCUGAGAAAGCACGGAAGGAAUGUCUGAGGAGGAUGUACUCAAGAAAAUACACAUACUCAAGGACACCUGCUGGAGUAUGGUUGACUGGAAGUCUGUCAGUCCAGAUGUGAGGAAGACAUACAGAGUUGAGCUGGAGCUCAGCAGAUGUGUGAUGGCUGUGGAUACUGUGGUCUUGGAAAGAAGGGCAUCUUCACAGCUUUCUAUUCAGACAAAGAGUUUGAUGGAUUCUGUUCUAUGGACUGCUACUACAGAUCUAUCUAUCUAUCUUUUUACUUGAAUUGGUGACUGAAAUUGAAAGCUAAAUAAAUGUUCUAGUGGAUAAAGUUGUGUCUGUUUGCUUAAUUGGUUAAUGUCACUUAAAACAAGGUUACUAAACUCUUCUGACUAAUUUUUAAAUGUAUUAAUUUUAUUUAUUUUUUUACAAAUUUUUCUCCAUCAGGCAAAACCUAGUUUUCUAGUGUAACACUUUACAAUAAAGUUUCAUUUGUUGACUGAUGUAUUAACCAGAGGUGGGACUUUCAAGUCACAAGCAAGUCUUCAAGUCAUAUGGAGCCAAAAGAGUCUCAAUAAAGAUAAAUGCACACACUACAUUCACAUAUGCACACAAAAUUUACAAAUGCACAAACACAAAAUUUAAAAAGCACAGAAGAUUCACAAAUGCAUACAAAAUUCAGAAAUACACACACAAUUCAGAAAUGCAAACAACAUUUACAAGUGCACUCAAGAUUCACAAAUGCACAGGACAAGAUUCAGAAAUGAAUUUCUGUUGAACACACACAUAUAUCUUGAUUUACAAACUGCUUGCGGUCUGUGAACUUCACUGCAUUUGUGUGUGAAUUUUGAGACUCCUCUGACUUGGCUCGACUCACAAAUGCUUUUUUUUUUAAAACAUGGAAUUAUCAGCAACCAAUCAGAUAUCUCCCUUGUUUUAGCUAAUCACAAGAACGCACUCCAAGUGAGGGAUUGUUUACUUAUAAGCCAAUCACAUGAACGCGUUUACACAGCGCGAUAUGCCUGUGGUGCAGCAUAUUAUAGCCUACUUAUUUAUGCAAUUGUAUGAAAAUACAGAUCUUUAGAUUACAAUUCAGUUUUUUUUUUUAUAUAAAUUAAAAAAUGUCUCAAUACAUAUAGCCCAGUGACUGCAGAAAAAAAGUUAACCAUGGAUUCAUAAAUUUGCAAUAGGCAAUUAUUUCAUAUUUUUGAAUAUUUAAAUAUAUCUAAAUAUUAUUUUGGAUGCAAUAUAGAAGUCA